CCGGGAGGGGGGGGGGGCGAGAUUGGUGCAGAAAAGAGGAAGAGGUUAUCUGAGCUCCAUGGCGCAGGACGUCUAUCACGGAAGGAGACGCUUCCUGCUCAGCAACUGCAGCUGACACAAGCAGGAAAUAUGAGCUCCAUGGUGGCCGGUCGACUGUCAGCGGUGUGUGGCCGUCCUUUAACCCCGUGGUGAGAGCUGCCAGGCGGGCGGCCAGCUGAAGCAGCAGAUGCACCAGGGUGACCGUCACCAGCAGAGCAGGUGAGUAGGACAGGCCGCCGACGCCGCUGCCUUCCUUGGGCUUCUCAGUUGGCUUUUUGCCCUCACUGGUUCCUGA
Molecule: long non-coding RNA, 334 nt
Organism: Syngnathus typhle (broad-nosed pipefish)
Lineage: Eukaryota; Metazoa; Chordata; Actinopteri; Syngnathiformes; Syngnathidae
Exons: 3
Source: RefSeq, a predicted model, not a curated record